Molecule: ribosomal RNA, 249 nt
Filed under: uncultured Actinomycetales bacterium
Lineage: Bacteria; Bacillati; Actinomycetota; Actinomycetes; Actinomycetales
Description: partial 16S ribosomal RNA
Rfam family: Bacterial small subunit ribosomal RNA
Source: RNAcentral
GGGGUGCUCGAGUGGCGAACGGGUGAGUAACACGUGAGUAACCUGCCCUUGACUUUGGGAUAACUUCAGGAAACUGGGGCUAAUACCGGAUAGGAGCUCCUGCUGCAUGGUGGGGGUUGGAAAGUUUCGGCGGUUGGGGAUGGACUCGCGGCCUAUCAGCUUGUUGGUGGGGUAAUGGCCUACCAAGGCGGCGACGGGUAGCCGGCCUGAGAGGGUGUACGGCCACAUUGGGACUGAGAUACGGCCCAG